Passer montanus (Eurasian tree sparrow) is the source of this 613-nucleotide long non-coding RNA. RefSeq lists it as uncharacterized. NCBI's taxonomy places the organism in Eukaryota, Metazoa, Chordata, Aves, Passeriformes, Passeridae. The record is from RefSeq and is a predicted model, not a curated record. The transcript is spliced from 3 exons.
GGGAGAACCAUUUCUAUGUUUGUGAGGUGCACUGGACUGCUAGCCCUCGCUGCUGAACUCCUUUGUUAAGGGCCUUAUCUAAUGGGAUCAGAUCUUUAAACAAGGCUUGGAUCUUUCCCUGUGUAUGAAUUACUCAUGGAUAAAGCUGCACAGAGCUUUAAUAUCAGGCCUUCUAAACAGGAUCAGAAGGGCACAGCCUAAAAACGUCUAAAAUUUCCGGAUUGGGUGGCUGUGGUGUUCAAAAGCCAUGUGCAUUGCAUCUGAACAAAGUGAUGCCAUCACGCUGAUUGCAGGGACGUGAACACUUCAGCAAUUCAGUUCCAAAUGGAGCGCAAACUGGCUCACACUGGUGAAAUUCCACACAAAGUCCCGACAUUCCUCCAGUCCUCUUGGGCUCUGCUGGGCUCCAGCUGCAGUCAAUAAUUGAUACAAAGUCUGGGGCUGGGAGCAGAGUACAUAGGAACGUGGGUCCUUGUGAAAUUCUGAGUUUUGAACCUUUUGAACAUGUGAGUGCUGUAAAGGCAGUCUGAGCAUCCAGAAUGCCUUACCCAGUUAACCAAUCUGUGUGCAAGCUGAGACAGUUUCCCAGUUAGAUUUGUCCUAUUUCGCUACU